CGUUCCCGGGCCUUGUACACACCGCCCGUCACACCAUGGGAGUGGGUUGUACCAGAAGUAGGUAGAAUAACCGUAAGGGGUUCGCUUACCACGGUAUGGUCCAUGACUGGGGUG
This 114-nucleotide ribosomal RNA is filed under the name uncultured bacterium. RNAcentral describes it as "partial 16S ribosomal RNA". It matches the Rfam family "Bacterial small subunit ribosomal RNA", at positions 1369 to 1482 of the family's 1533-position model. The record is from RNAcentral.